Bison bison bison is the source of this 107-nucleotide small nuclear RNA. Lineage: Eukaryota; Metazoa; Chordata; Mammalia; Artiodactyla; Bovidae. The record is from Ensembl.
GUGCUCACUUUAGCAGCACAUAUACUAAAAUUGGAACAAUACAGAAAAGAUUAGCAUGGCCCCUGUGCAAGGAUGACACACAAAUUCAUGAAGUGUUUCAUAUUUUU